Molecule: ribosomal RNA, 363 nt
Filed under: uncultured bacterium
Lineage: Bacteria
Description: bacterial SSU rRNA
Rfam family: Bacterial small subunit ribosomal RNA
Source: RNAcentral
GGGCCCGCACAAGCGGUGGAGCAUGUGGUUUAAUUCGAUGAUACGCGAGGAACCUUACCUAGGCUUAAUGUAGAUUGACGUAUUGGGAAACCAGUAUUUCUUCGGACAAUCUACAAGGUGCUGCAUGGUUGUCGUCAGCUCGUGCCGUGAGGUGUCGGGUUAAGUCCCAUAACGAGCGCAACCCUAUCAUUAGUUGCUAACAUUAGUUGAGGACUCUAAUGAAACUGCCCGCGUAAGCGGUGAGAAGGUGGGAUGACGUCAAAUCAUCACGGCCCUUACGUCUAGGGCUACACACGUGCUACAAUGGUAACUACAGAGGGAAGCUAUCUGGUGACAGUGAGCAAAUCCUUAAAGUUAUCCCAG